RNAcentral lists this ribosomal RNA (406 nucleotides) under uncultured bacterium. RNAcentral's name for it is "partial 16S ribosomal RNA". It matches the Rfam family "Bacterial small subunit ribosomal RNA", at positions 30 to 526 of the family's 1533-position model. The record is from RNAcentral.
AUUGAACGCUGGCGGCAGGCCUAACACAUGCAAGUCGAACGAGUGGCGGACGGGUGAGUAAUGUCUGGGAAACUGCCUGAUGGAGGGGGAUCACUAAUGGACACGGUAGCUAAUACCGCCUACCAUCAGCUGUGCCCAUAUGGGAUUAGCUUGUUGGUGGGGUAAAGGCGCACCAAGGCGACGAUCCCUAGCUGGUCUGAGAGGAUGACCAGCAACACUGGAACGGAGACACGGUCCAGACGCCUACGGGAGGCAGCAGUGGGGAAUAUUGGACAAUGGGCGCAAGCCUGAUGCAGCCAUGCCGCGUGUAUGAAGAAGGCCUUCGGGUUGUAAAGUACUUUCAGCGGGGAGGCGUUACCCGCAGAAGAAGCACCGGCUAACUCCGUGCCAGCAGCCGCGGUAAUUC